This 314-nucleotide ribosomal RNA is filed under the name uncultured soil bacterium. RNAcentral's name for it is "bacterial SSU rRNA". It matches the Rfam family "Bacterial small subunit ribosomal RNA", at positions 26 to 371 of the family's 1533-position model. The record is from RNAcentral.
AGAACGAACGCUGGCGGCAUGCCUAAUACAUGCAAGUCGAACGAACACUUCGGUGUUAGUGGCGCACGGGUGCGUAACGCGUGGGAAUCUGCCCUUGGGUUCGGAAUAACAGUUGGAAACGACUGCUAAUACCGGAUGAUAUCGAAAGAUCAAAGAUUUAUCGCCCAGGGAUGAGCCCGCGUAGGAUUAGCUAGUUGGUGAGGUAAAGGCUCACCAAGGCGACGAUCCUUAGCUGGUCUGAGAGGAUGAUCAGCCACACUGGGACUGAGACACGGCCCAGACUCCACGGGAGCAGCAGUGGGGAAUUUGGACAA